Molecule: long non-coding RNA, 278 nt
Organism: Melitaea cinxia (Glanville fritillary)
Lineage: Eukaryota; Metazoa; Arthropoda; Insecta; Lepidoptera; Nymphalidae
Exons: 2
Source: RefSeq, a predicted model, not a curated record
CUUAAUAUGAAAUCGGUAUUCUCCAAGCAAAACAGCCACAAAUUUCAACCGCAGCCUCGGCGUACGCUUACAACUUUUAGUGUCAAACGAAAAGCUACUAUUUCGUGGCUGUAGCCAAGGAUUUUCAGUCCAUUUAUAUUGUGUUUAGUUUGUUUUAGUGAUAUUUUAAGUUGGAUUACUCUAUAAAAAUGGCCGCAAGAGUAUUGUGUAUGUUGUACCUUCUAGAAGAAGCUAAAAGGCUAGACGAUUUACACAAAAGACGUCAAAGUCGCAGUAUA